GAUGAACGCUGGCGGCGUGCCUAAUACAUGCAAGUCGAGCGAACAGACGAGGAGCUUGCUCCUCUGACGUUAGCGUCGGACGGGUGAGUAACACGUGGAUAACCUACCUAUAAGACUGGGAUAACUUCGGGAAACCGGAGCUAAUACCGGAUAAUAUAUUGAACCGCAUGGUUCAAUAGUGAAAGACGGUUUUGCUGUCACUUAUAGAUGGAUCCGCGCCGCAUUAGCUAGUUGGUAAGGUAACGGCUUACCAAGGCAACGAUGCGUAGCCGACCUGAGAGGGUGAUCGGCCACACUGGAACUGAGACACGGUCAAGACUACUACGGGAGGCAGCAGUAAGGAAUCUUCCGCAAUGGGCGAAAGGAUGACGGAGAAAAGCCGCGUGAGUGAUGAAGGUCUUCGGAUCGUAAAACUCUAUUAUUAGGGAAGAACAAAUGUGUAAGUAACUAUGCACGUAUUGACGGUACCUAAUAAGAAAGCCACGGCUAACUACGUG
Molecule: ribosomal RNA, 497 nt
Filed under: uncultured bacterium
Lineage: Bacteria
Description: partial 16S ribosomal RNA
Rfam family: Bacterial small subunit ribosomal RNA
Source: RNAcentral